Molecule: ribosomal RNA, 1392 nt
Filed under: uncultured bacterium
Lineage: Bacteria
Description: 16S ribosomal RNA
Rfam family: Bacterial small subunit ribosomal RNA
Source: RNAcentral
UCAGUGGCGGACGGCUGAGUAACACGUAGGAAUCUUCCCCUGUUUGGAGGAUAGCCCCGCGAAAGCGGGGAUAAAACUCCAUAAUCCCGCCAAUUGGCGGGUAAAAGACGUAACUGUCUGAAUAGGGAUGAGCCUGCGGCUUAUCAGGUAGUUGGUAGGGUAACGGCCUACCAAGCCUAUUACGAGUAGCUGGACUAAGAGGUUGGUCAGCCAGAGGGGGACUGAGACACGGCCCCCACUCCUACGGGAGGCAGCAAUCAGGAAUAGUCGGCAAUGGACGAAAGUCUGACCGCGCGACGCCGCGUGUAGGAAUAAGCUCUUCGGAGCGUAAACUACUGUUGUAAGGGAAGAAAUCCGCCAGCUGGCGGAUUGACGGUACCUUACGAGAAAGGGGCCGCUAACUGCGUGCCAGAAGCGUCGGUAAUACGUGGGCCCCAAACAUUAUCCGGUUUUACUGGGUGUAAAAAGUAGUGUAGGUGUCCCAAUAAGUUUUUGUUUAAAUAUUAAGGCUUAACCUUAAGAAAGGCAAAAAUACUAUUGGGAUAGAGUUUUCUUUAGGGAGACUGGAACUUAGGGAGGAGUAGUGAAAUGCGUUGAUACCCUAGGGAACACUCGUGGCGAAGGCGAGUCUCUGAAAGAUAACUGACACUGAGACACGAAAGCUAGGGUAGCGAAGCAGAUUAGAGACCUGCGUAGUCCUAGCCUUAAACGCAUGCUUGCUAGCUGCAUUGUCUUCCGAUUUAUCGGAGCACGGUGUGGCGAAGGUAACCCGUUAAGCAAGCCACCUGGGGAGUACGGCCGCAAGGUUGAAACUCAAAGGAAUUGGCGGGGAGGCACACAACCAGUGGAACAUGUGGUUCAAUUCGAAACGAAACGAAGAACCUCACCAGGGUUUGACAUCCAAGCGUCCUAUUUCAUGGAAACAUGGAAAAUUCGUAAGAAGGCUUGGACAGGUGCUGCAUGGCUGUCGUCAGUUCGUUCCGUGAGGAGUGCCCUUAAGUGGGACAACGAACGCAACCCCCAUCCUGUGUUAUAUUUGUCACAGGAAACUGCCUCGCCUUUGGCGAGGAGGAAGGAGGGGCAGACGUCAAGUCAGCAUGGUCCUUAUACCCUGGGCUACACACAUGUUACAAUGGAUAAAAACAAUGGGUUCUGCCAACUUGCAAAAGUGAGCAAAUCUCAGAAAUUUAUCCUCAGUGGGGAUUGAGGUCUGCAACUCGACCUCAUGAACGCGGAAUUGGUAGUAAUCGCGGGUCAGCUAUACCGCGGUGAAUACGUUCUUGCCUCUUGCACACACCGCCCGUCAAGCCAACAAAGUCGGGAAAAUUUGAAUCCGCCGUUUGGCGGAGAGGAUAUUUCCGGCGAUGGGGGUUAAGUCGUAACAAGGUAACC